Molecule: ribosomal RNA, 374 nt
Filed under: uncultured prokaryote
Description: bacterial SSU rRNA
Rfam family: Bacterial small subunit ribosomal RNA
Source: RNAcentral
AACGUAGGUACCAAGCGUUAUCCGGAUUCACUGGGCGUAAAGCGCGUGCAGGUGGUUGGGUAAGUCGGGCAUGAAAACUCUUGGCUUAACUGAGAGAAGCUGCUCGAUACUGCUCGACUGGAGGGCAUAAGAGGGAGAUGGAAUUCCGCGUGUAGUGGUGAAAUGCGUAGAUAUGCGGAGGAACACCAGUGGCGAAGGCGGUCUCCUGGUAUGCACCUGACACUCAGACGCGAAGGCUAGGGGAGCGAACGGGAUUAGAAACCCCGGUAGUCCUAGCAGUAAACGAUGAUUACUAGGUGUUAGUGGUAACCAAACCACUAGUGCCGAAGCUAACGCGAUAAGUAAUCCGCCUGGGGACUACGAUCGCAAGAUUA